GGUCGCAUAGCUCAGCUGGUUAGAGCGCUACGCUCACAUCGUAGAGGCCUCUGGUUCGAAUCCAGAUGCGACCACCA
Molecule: transfer RNA, 77 nt
Filed under: Bacillota bacterium
Lineage: Bacteria; Bacillati; Bacillota
Description: Firmicutes bacterium (anaerobic digester metagenome) tRNA-Val
Rfam family: tRNA
About the family: Transfer RNA (tRNA) molecules are approximately 80 nucleotides in length. Their secondary structure includes four short double-helical elements and three loops (D, anti-codon, and T loops).
Source: RNAcentral